ACUCCUACGGGAGGCAGCAGUGGGGAAUAUUGCACAAUGGGCGCAAGCCUGAUGCAGCCAUGCCGCGUGUAUAAGAAGGCCUUCGGGUUGUAAAGUACUUUCAGCAGUGAGGAAGGUGGGUAUGUUAAUAGCAUAUUCAUUUGACGUUAGCUGCAGAAGAAGCACCGGCUAACUCCGUGCCAGCAGCCGCGGUAAUACGGAGGGUGCGAGCGUUAAUCGGAAUUACUGGGCGUAAAGCGCAUGCAGGUGGUUUGUUAAGUCAGAUGUGAAAGCCCGGGGCUCAACCUCGGAAUUGCAUUUGAAACUGGCAAACUAGAGUACUGUAGAGGGGGGUAGAAUUUCAGGUGUAGCGGUGAAAUGCGUAGAGAUCUGAAGGAAUACCGGUGGCGAAGGCGGCCCCUGGACAGAUACUGACACUCAGAUGCGAAAGCGUGGGAGCAAACAGGAUUAGAUACCCUGGUAGACAUCA
Molecule: ribosomal RNA, 469 nt
Filed under: uncultured bacterium
Lineage: Bacteria
Description: bacterial SSU rRNA
Rfam family: Bacterial small subunit ribosomal RNA
Source: RNAcentral